Molecule: ribosomal RNA, 599 nt
Filed under: Russula cyanoxantha
Lineage: Eukaryota; Fungi; Basidiomycota; Agaricomycetes; Russulales; Russulaceae
Description: eukaryotic LSU rRNA
Rfam family: 5.8S ribosomal RNA (bases 210-363)
Source: RNAcentral
AGGAUCAUUAUUGUAUAACAGAGGUGCCGGGGCUGUCGCCGACUUUGUGCACGCCCCGGUGCUCUCUCACAAUCCAUCUCACCCCCUUUGUGCAUCACCGCGUGGGCGCUCUCCUUUUGGUUCAUUCUGAAAAGGGGGCGUUUGCGUUUUUAUACAGACCACCGCAUGUGUAGAAUGUCUUACUAUUUGCGAUAACACGCAAUCAAUACAACUUUCAACAACGGAUCUCUUGGCUCUCGCAUCGAUGAAGAACGCAGCGAAAUGCGAUACGUAAUGUGAAUUGCAGAAUUCAGUGAAUCAUCGAAUCUUUGAACGCACCUUGCGCCCCUUGGAAUUCCGAGGGGCACACCCGUUUGAGUGUCGUGAACAUCCUUCAACCUUUCUUGGUUUCUUGACCGGGGAAGGCUUGGACUUUGGGGGUUUUUCAUUGCUGGCCUCCCUUGAAGCCAGCUCCUCCUAAAUGGAUUAGUGGGGUCUGCUUUGCCGAUCCUUGACGUGAUAAGAUGUUUCUACGUCUUGGGUUUCGCACUGUCGCUUCAGACCCCGCUUCGAACAGUCUUGCAUCUAAGACAGAGUUUUAUAAACCUUGACCUCAAAUC